AGUGAACGCUGGCGGUAGGCCUAACACAUGCAAGUCGAACGGCAGCACAGUAAGAGCUUGCUCUUACGGGUGGCGAGUGGCGGACGGGUGCGGAAUACAUCGGAAUCUACUUUUUCGUGGGGGAUAACGUAGGGAAACUUACGCUAAUACCGCAUACGACCUACGGGUGAAAGCAGGGGAUCUUCGGACCUUGCGCGAUUGAAUGAGCCGAUGUCGGAUUAGCUAGUUGGCGGGGUAAAGGCCCACCAAGGCGACGAUCCGUAGCUGGUCUGAGAGGAUGAUCAGUCACACUGGAACUGAGACACGGUCCAGACUCCUACGGGAGGCAGCAGUGGGGAAUAUUGGACAAUGGGCGCAAGCCUGAUCCAGCCAUACCGCGUGGGUGAAGAAGGCCUUCGGGUUGUAAAGCCCUUUUGUUGGGAAAGAAAAGCAGCAGGUUAAUACCCCGCUGUUCUGACGGUACCCAAAGAAUAAGCACCGGCUAACUUCGUG
Molecule: ribosomal RNA, 492 nt
Filed under: uncultured bacterium
Lineage: Bacteria
Description: partial 16S ribosomal RNA
Rfam family: Bacterial small subunit ribosomal RNA
Source: RNAcentral